GGAAGAUGUUCUUGAUUGUAGAGGAGAGGGAUAGAUAGGUAGAUAGAUAGAUAGCAGGCAGGGGUCUGUGAAGAGAGGGGUCGUGAGGGAAGAAAGAGCCCUUUCAGGAGAAGGAGGCUGCCAUUGUGUGAAUUAGAUGAGGAAACUGUUAACUCAGGAGGGAGGGAUAGAGAGAAAAAAUAUGAAGGGAGGGGGAAGAAAGAGUGGGGAAGAGCGAGUGGAAGAGAGAGAAAGAGAGAAAAAGAAGGGAGGGGAAGAGAGACAGAAGGGCGAGGGACGGACCCAAGUCUGUCAGCAGCCUGAGGGUAAUGAGCGGCCAUGGUGGCACUGGCAGCAAGGAAGGGCCCAGUCAACCACUGCUGCUGUUUGGGGCUACCAAGGCAAUUGUCAGAGUGAAGGAGGCAAGCAAGAAAUGGGCCAGGGCCUGGGCCUGUCAGCGACCUGUGGGGAAUGAGUGGCCAUGGUGGUGGUGGCAGUGAGAAAGGGCCCAGUCAACCACUGCUGUUGCUCCUGUGGGGAGAAGCAAGAGUGAGGUUCGGGUGGGGAGGUCUCUGGUGAUAGGAGGCUGCAGCUUGGACAAUAGGUGCCAGCAACACUGUAGCUGCAACCAAGAGAGGUGAAGGGGAUGGAGUAAAGGGAUGGAAGAGUGACCAAGAGGGGUGAGGGGGAUGGAAGCAACAGAAUAGAGGAGGAGGAGCAGGAGUGCAGCUCAGAAGAAUCUUUUGCAGUACGUGCAUGCAGUAUCUACUAUUUAUCUGUGGAAUGCCAGGGAGCAACGGCUCAUCAGAAAUUUAAUGACAUUUUACGGAUGAUGUAAGAGAGCUGGAGUGGAACUAAAUAGAAAAUCAGAACUUCUGAAUCACAUUUGUUAGCAAUUUUUAAAGGACUCACAUUUACCUUGCCAUUCAGCAAAGAGCCUUCAGCACUUUUUUCAGAAAAGAUGAGAUCCCCAUUCACAACUCUUGUACCAUAGGUCUUAAUCCGGUGGGAUUUUCCUGGAGACAGGGCUUUGUAAAUCAGAGCUGUCCUAAGCAAAUGGGGAUGUGGAGAGUAAGAAACGUACCAUUAAAUAUCAGGAGGCACUUUCUUCACCACCAUGGCCUGGUAUGUAAUGGCCUUCUUAUCUUUAAUGCCUGUGUAGCUGAAGUCUGAAGGCAGCACGCCAAGUUUAGAAGACAAAUAGCCAAUUGCUUCAAGUGUUUCCAGGUUUUCCUUUCGGAGGGUAAAAGCUGCAAAAAGACUGCAAUGUUAUUACAAAUCCAGACAGAGACUCCUCUGUAAGCAAAUGAAGGGCUGAAAAUAGUGACAAAAGAGGGGACAAGAAUCAACUGAAGAUUAUUGGUCACACAGUGUCUCUUUGAUCCAAUAAAAAGGCUAGUUUAAAGUCCAAUCAUGAAGAGGGCUGAGAUGACCAAAGAUGUUGAUUGCAGGGUAGUCUGGCUAGAGAGGCAUAAAAGAGCCAGUUCUGCCUAGUGUUGGUGUCAGUCACCUGUUCCAGAGAAGCUGUCUGCAAGAAUACAGAAGAAAACCAAGCAGAAGCUGAAGCAAGGGCUUCAAAUCAGCAGCAGUCAACUGAGAUCACUUAGGAAAGCAGAAGGCAUUGAAGCCGAAAGUGGGAGGGACUGAAAUGGAGUUUCAGUGCCCAGUUCCCAGGAGUUGGUGCCAGAAUCUGCUCAAAGCAAGGAGUAGAUUGGGGGUACAUGGAGAAAAGAGCAUAUACCAUCUAGUACAACAUGCAUCUGCACACGAUUUCCAGUCCAGGAAUCUGCAUGCCCCCUUACUGGAUAUGAAUGACAAUGUUCAGCUUAUCAUAUGCACAACAAAAGUAUAUCUUUAUAUUAAAGUAUUUUGUUUCC
This is a long non-coding RNA of Hemicordylus capensis (graceful crag lizard), 1856 nucleotides long. RefSeq lists it as uncharacterized. The record is from RefSeq and is a predicted model, not a curated record. The transcript is spliced from 5 exons. Lineage: Eukaryota; Metazoa; Chordata; Lepidosauria; Squamata; Cordylidae.